UAUGAGGAACAUUAUCAUAAC
Molecule: non-coding RNA, 21 nt
Organism: Caenorhabditis elegans
Lineage: Eukaryota; Metazoa; Nematoda; Chromadorea; Rhabditida; Rhabditidae
Source: Ensembl